GUGUCAGCCGCCGCGGUAAGACGUAGGGUGCGAGCGUUGUCCGGAUUUAUUGGGCGUAAAGAGCUCGUAGGCGGCUCGUCGCGUCGACCGUGAAAACUUGGGGCUUAACCCUAAGCUUGCGGUUGAUACGGGCGGGCUAGAGUUCGGUAGGGGAGACUGGAAUUCCUGGUGUAGCGGUGAAAUGCGCAGAUAUCAGGAGGAACACCGGUGGCGAAGGCGGGUCUCUGGGCCGAUACUGACGCUGAGGAGCGAAAGCGUGGGGAGCGAACAGGAUUAGAUACCCCCGUAGUCC
RNAcentral lists this ribosomal RNA (292 nucleotides) under uncultured bacterium. RNAcentral's name for it is "partial 16S ribosomal RNA". It matches the Rfam family "Bacterial small subunit ribosomal RNA", at positions 505 to 796 of the family's 1533-position model. The record is from RNAcentral.